RNAcentral lists this ribosomal RNA (163 nucleotides) under uncultured bacterium. RNAcentral's name for it is "partial 16S ribosomal RNA". It matches the Rfam family "Bacterial small subunit ribosomal RNA", at positions 368 to 524 of the family's 1533-position model. The record is from RNAcentral.
GGUAUGGGCGCAGCCUGAUCCAGCCAUACCGCGUGGGUGAAGAAGGCCUUCGGGUUGUAAAGCCCUUUUGUUGGGAAAGAAAUCCAGCUGGCUAAUACCCGGUUGGGAUGACGGUACCCAAAGAAUAAGCACCGGCUAACUACGUGCCAGCAGCCGCGGUAAU